AAAAGUUCCUUGGAUACAUCAUGAAAGGAUCUGAAACCUAUACCCCCUUCUCAUAUGGCAUACACAGGUUAGUCCAUGAUAACCAAUGUCUUGAGCUUCCUCCCACAUUGCUGCUCCAGAAAAAUUUGGCAAAAAUGCUAGGUAAUUUGUUGAUCACAUAUCUUGGUGGAUUAACUGUUGACAACAUAUGAAUUGGUAUACUCUGCAGGACAUUUGCGAUCAAUACAGCCCUGCCUCCUACAGAUAGGAGUUUGCCUUUCCGCGUCUGUAGUUUGUCCAUAACCUUAGUAAUUAAACCAUGGUAAUAAUCACUCCUUCUUUUGGCAUACAAAAUAGGACAUCCAAGAUAGUUCAUAGGGAAAUAUUGUCUUCCUAUACCAGUAAUCCUUUCCACCUUGUUAAUCACCUCAUUAUCCGUUAAAUGAUGCAGAUAUAUGGCUGAUUUGGCUUUGUUCACCAGUUGACCAAAUGAUGAUUCAUAAGCUUGCUGAACCUCCAUCACAAGUGACAAUGGAGUUACAUCAGAUGAGCAGAAAAUGAUUGUAUCAUCUGCAUAUGCAAGAUGGUUUAUUUUUCGGCUCCAUUUUGGUAGUCCAAAUCCACGAAAAU
This 609-nucleotide long non-coding RNA is filed under the name Nicotiana benthamiana. RNAcentral describes it as "long non-coding RNA (NBEN_LNC038698)". Lineage: Eukaryota; Viridiplantae; Streptophyta; Magnoliopsida; Solanales; Solanaceae. The record is from RNAcentral.